GCAGCUAUGGUGUAGCUUGGUAGCAUAUGGGCCUGUGGAGCCUCUAGGGCGGGUUCAAAUCCCGCUAGCUGCC
Molecule: transfer RNA, 73 nt
Filed under: archaeon GW2011_AR5
Lineage: Archaea
Also listed under: 1 other name
Description: tRNA-His
Rfam family: tRNA
About the family: Transfer RNA (tRNA) molecules are approximately 80 nucleotides in length. Their secondary structure includes four short double-helical elements and three loops (D, anti-codon, and T loops). Further hydrogen bonds mediate the characteristic L-shaped molecular structure. tRNAs have two regions of fundamental functional importance: the anti-codon, which is responsible for specific mRNA codon recognition, and the 3' end, to which the tRNAs corresponding amino acid is attached (by aminoacyl-tRNA synthetases). tRNAs cope with the degeneracy of the genetic code in two manners: having more than one tRNA (with a specific anti-codon) for a particular amino acid; and 'wobble' base-pairing, i.e. permitting non-standard base-pairing at the 3rd anti-codon position.
Source: RNAcentral